GUCUACAGCCAUGCCGCCCUGAACAAGCCCAAUGUCUGAUCUUGGAAGUUAAGCAUGGUCGGGCCUGGUUAGUACUUGGAUAGGAGACCACCUAGGAAGACCAGAAGCAUAAAUA
This 115-nucleotide ribosomal RNA is filed under the name Pteropus alecto (black flying fox). The record is from RNAcentral. Lineage: Eukaryota; Metazoa; Chordata; Mammalia; Chiroptera; Pteropodidae.